GAUGAACGCUGGCGGCGUGCCUAAUACAUGCGAGUCGAGCGAACAGACGAGGAGCUUGCUCCUCUGACGUUAGCGGCGGACGGGUGAGUAACACGUGGAUAACCUACCUAUAAGACUGGGAUAACUUCGGGAAACCGGAGCUAAUACCGGAUAAUAUAUUGAACCGCAUGGUUCAAUAGUGAAAGACGGUUUUGCUGUCACUUAUAGAUGGAUCCGCGCCGCAUUAGCUAGUUGGUAAGGUAACGGCUUACCAAGGCAACGAUGCGUAGCCGACCUGAGAGGGUGAUCGGCCACACUGGAACUGAGACACGGUCCAGACUCCUACGGGAGGCAGCAGUAGGGAAUCUUCCGCAAUGGGCGAAAGCCUGACGGAGCAACGCCGCGUGAGUGAUGAAGGUCUUCGGAUCGUAAAACUCUGUUAUUAGGGAAGAACAAAUGUGUAAGUAACUAUGCACGUCUUGACGGUACCUAAUCAGAAAGCCACGGCUAACUAGGUG
Molecule: ribosomal RNA, 497 nt
Filed under: uncultured bacterium
Lineage: Bacteria
Description: partial 16S ribosomal RNA
Rfam family: Bacterial small subunit ribosomal RNA
Source: RNAcentral